GGCAGGCAACUGGCAGAUUACUCAUUCAAUUCUCAUAAUUCAUAUGCUUAUGAAUGUUUUCACUAGUAAUUUCUAAUUUGACAUUCUUGUGCCAUUUCAUUUCAGAGAAUCCAAACUUGCAACCUACUUCUACAUUAAAAUAAUGGCAGAUAACCAGCCCGGCAGAAAGAGAAGGGCGCUCAGUAGAUUACACAAAGGUUGGCCGAACUAAGGUAUUUUCUUGGGGCCAAUUUUAGCUAAUACUAUGACCAAAAAUAUGUUAAUAACCUUGUUCUAUCCCAAUCUGCACUUCUUUAGUUGGUCAACAUCUUCAGUCACGUCAUGCCUUGAUAAUGCUGCAAGCACCUCACACACUUUUUGAAAGGACACCAGCAGCAAACAGAAGAUUCCUCCGAGAAAACCUUAAUGUAUACACUGG
Molecule: unclassified non-coding RNA, 418 nt
Filed under: Hevea brasiliensis (rubber tree)
Lineage: Eukaryota; Viridiplantae; Streptophyta; Magnoliopsida; Malpighiales; Euphorbiaceae
Source: RNAcentral